Molecule: small RNA, 990 nt
Filed under: Pongo abelii (Sumatran orangutan)
Lineage: Eukaryota; Metazoa; Chordata; Mammalia; Primates; Hominidae
Description: retained intron
Source: RNAcentral
GUUGUGACGUGGUUCUUUUCUUAGAUCAUACAACCAACGUGGUAAUGCUGGCAUAGUAAUUUUCGGUUGCCAUUUUCUGACAUUUGAAAAGAUCUGAAGAUACGCCCCUUGGAUGCCUGCAGAGAAGCUCUGGGGUUUCAGUCAAUGACUCAGGGUAGCCACUGAACAUGACGCUCGCAGUGGGUGCCACCUGGACUCCACUCUCCUCUCUCUCUGGGAUCAUAGAGUCCAAGGUGUUCUGUGGCCUCUCGGCCAGUCCCAGCAGCUCAGCGUGCAGAAGACCGAGGAGCCAUUGGUCAGUGCAGGAGGUGCCUGGCGUUUUGGAGAUGGGAUGCAGAGGAAUUCAACACAACAUGAAAUAAUCGACAAAUUCGGGGAAUGUUAAUCUGACCAUUCCCAGUUACAAAUGAUGUUUCAUGCUACCUUCUAUUCCUGCCUUCAUAAAUCAAGCUCUAAAUCUCCAGGAAAAAAUGCGCUAAGAUCGCCAGUGAAAUGUCCUUCCAACUGUGGAUGGAAAGCAAGGACAGCAAAGCCUUCCAGACCUGCCUGUGACAUGCACUGCACAUUCUAAAGAUGCCUGUGCAAUGGAAAACACCACUGUCUCCUCCAGCACAGCUGCCAUUCUUCCAUCUUAUCGACCUUAAUGCAACAACUCCACACAGGCAGAGAUUUUAAAAUGUGUUCUUGGCAGAAGAGAGACUCAAAGAUGGGACAAAUGGGUCAUUUAAAUGCCUGUUAAAAUGGAACGGACAUAGUAUAGUCAGAGGAUUGUGGCAGCUAAGAACAUAGUCUCUGGAGCAAAUCUGCAUGGGUGGCAACCCCAAGCACUUGAGGUCCUAGUUGUAUGAACUUAGGAAAAGAAAAAGAGAACAUAUAUCCCCCUACCUUUUGAUUUCCAACAGUCUACUGAGAGGCCAACAUUAUUUGCAGGGAAAGAAAAGGGGAAUGCCAUCCCCACCCUCUCGCAGCUACAUGCCAGUUCCAGAGCAC